Non-coding RNA from Schistosoma rodhaini, 45 nucleotides. The record is from Rfam. Lineage: Eukaryota; Metazoa; Platyhelminthes; Trematoda; Strigeidida; Schistosomatidae.
AUCCAGCUGACGAGUCCCAAAUAGGACGAAAUGUGCAUUCUGGAU